Molecule: small RNA, 756 nt
Filed under: Pan troglodytes (chimpanzee)
Lineage: Eukaryota; Metazoa; Chordata; Mammalia; Primates; Hominidae
Description: processed transcript
Source: RNAcentral
CCAGCCGAGCUCUGAUCGUUGCAGAGCAUGAGAAGAAGCAGAAGCUGGAGACGGACGCCAUGUUCCGGCUGGAGCAUGGCGAGGCCGACCGCAGCACACUCAAGAAGGCGCUGCCCACACUGAGCCACAUCCAGGAGGCCCAGAGCGCCUGGAAGGACGACUUCGCCCUCAACAGCAUGCUGCGGAGAAGGUUCCGGAGGCCAGCUCCCCCAGGGCAAGGGUUUUUCCCUGCCUGCCACUGUAUGCCGAGUGUCUAGAACAAAGCCUAGCACAAGGAAAAGAAAAAAGCCAUCCAGGAGGAGGAGGAGAGAGACCAGGCCUUGCAGGCCAAGGCGAGCCUGACCAUCCCGCUGGUGCCCGAGACGGAAGAUGACCGCAAGCUGGCGGCUCUGCUGAAGUUCCACACCCUGGACUCCUACGAGGACAAGCAGAAACUCAAGCGGACCGAAAUCAUCAGCCGCUCCUGGUUCCCCUCUGCCCCCGGAUCCGCCUCCAGCAGCAAGGUCAGCGGCGUCCUGAAGAAGCUGGCACAGAGCCGCAGAACCGCGCUUGCCACCUGCCCCAUCACCGUCGGGGACCUGGGCAUCGUGCGGCGGAGGUCUCGGGACGUCCCGGAGAGCCCCCAGCAUGCGGCCGACACCCCCAAGUCUGGGGAACCGCGGGUACCAGAGGAGGCUGCCCAGGACCGGCCCAUGUCCCCCGGAGACUGUCCUCCGGAAACAACUGAGACCCCCAAGUGCAGCAGGCCGAGGGGGC